GUAAGGAAUAUUGGACAAUGGACGCAAGUCUGAUCCAGCCAUGCCGCGUGAAGGAUUAAGGUCCUCUGGAUGGUAAACUUCUUUUAUAAGGGACGAAAAAAGACUUUUCUAAGUCGUCUGACGGUACCUUAUGAAUAAGCACCGGCUAACUCCGUGCCAGCAGCCGCGGUAAUACGGAGGGUGCAAGCGUUAUCCGGAUUCACUGGGUUUAAAGGGUGCGUAGGCGGGCAGGUAAGUAAGUGGUGAAAUCCUAGAGCUUAACUCUAGAACUGCCAUUGAUACUAUCUGUCUUGAAUAUUGUGGAGGUAAGCGGAAUAUGUCAUGUAGCGGUGAAAUGCGUAGAUAUGACAUAGAACACCUAUUGCGAAGGCAGCUUACUACGCAUAUAUUGACGCUGAGGCACGAAAGCGUGGGGAUCAAACAGGAUUAGAAACCCGUGUAGUCC
RNAcentral lists this ribosomal RNA (445 nucleotides) under uncultured bacterium. RNAcentral's name for it is "partial 16S ribosomal RNA". It matches the Rfam family "Bacterial small subunit ribosomal RNA", at positions 354 to 796 of the family's 1533-position model. The record is from RNAcentral.